Long non-coding RNA from Papaver somniferum (opium poppy), 2099 nucleotides. RefSeq lists it as uncharacterized. The record is from RefSeq and is a predicted model, not a curated record. NCBI's taxonomy places the organism in Eukaryota, Viridiplantae, Streptophyta, Magnoliopsida, Ranunculales, Papaveraceae. The transcript has 6 exons.
UUGGUUGAAACCAAGCUCAAAUAAAUGUAGUUUCUUCUCGGAAAAAUGUUAAUGGAGGGUUUGAUAUUUCUGGUAAUCAUUGAAUAGGAGACCCUUCAAAACCAUGGAUAAACGUAAAUCAAACGUAACCACCAAAAUUAACAGAACCGUAAAACUACAGAAUAGAUUAGAAAACGAUUUUGGUUUUAGGAAUUUAGCUGUGGAGAAGAGAGAGAGGGUUGAGGGAGAAGAAGAAGAAAGAAAAGAAGUAGCAGCUGGAGCCUGGAGAUGGACUUAAUCCAACGGAUAACUAUAAAAAUACGCGUUGGACGAAUAGUACGUGCGGGAACGAAAAAUAAUUAGCGGUUUUUCAAAAGGGUUGUUGGCAUUAAAGGGGGAGAGAUUUUGAACAAUUUCAUUUACUUAUAACGAUUUAGUUGCAUAUCUGGAACUUAAUCGGCAGCAAUGUUUUCUCAAAAAUCACCAAUUAUGGUUUUGUUGAUUAAUUGUCAUUUAAAUAAGAUUUUAAUUAUCUUGGUUUUCCCCUGUUAAAAUUUGAUCUGAUCGUAGUAUUUUAUAUUUAUUUGUUUUGUCGAAGCUGUAAAGAGAAAGGGGAUGAUAUUGAGGUUCGCUACGAGAGGACUAAUAAAUGAAGAAUGUUGGAGAAACAGAUACCAAAAAGAUAAGCUGGAAGUGGAUCCUGUAUUCUAUCUUACUAUUAAAUCCUUGGAUGGAAAAUUAAUAUACAAAACUGCUUCAAAGGAAGCUAAGAGACCUGCAAAUGAUGAUGAUGGAGCGAAUGCAAUUGUUGUAAAGCUUACAAAGCCAGAAAGGAGAGCAAAGAUGAAGAAGACUAGGAAAGAGGCAAAGAAGCAGCAAAAAGGAGAUAGUUAGUGCAGAUGAGGUGGAAUUGGAAGCAGAUCCUCAACCUCAAGCAUUGGUAUUUUCUUUUUAUUACAGGCUGAGGUGAAAGAAGAACAUUCAGCUGAAGAAUUUCUUUUGAGUAAGAAGAGUAAACUAGCAGAGUUGGGAUUGGCGCUGUUUACUGAUCAGUUGUCGAAUAUUAAAUUCUUAAAAGAGAUGGUGUAGCUUUCCAAAGAUGAAAAUCAAGCAACUAGCUUGGGCUUCUCUCCUUAUUGGCUAUUUUCAUAGAUAUCAUUCCUGGUUAUCAGAUCAGACUUCCCCACCGACAAGGAGCUGUCGAGCAGGAGAUGAAUGUUUAGAAGGAAGUAAUAAAAAUGUGAUUCUUUGAAUUCACAUUGUUGACCUCUUAUAAGGUUUACCUUCAAGAGUCUAAUAGCCUUACUGAAGCAAGCAUCCUUCCAACAUGUUGCUGUGCGUUUCAUGUGUUUUUUGCUGGAUGCUGUUCCUCAUUUCAAUUUCUGUGAGAAUUUGCUAGCUGCUGUCAUCAAUAACAUGAGCUCCCAGAUGAUGUCAUAAGGUUGUGUUAGAUGUGAGCCUUAUGCUUUACUCUUUUAGGCUUGGCUUGAGAGUUUAUGUUUCUCUCUUUAGUUAUUGUUGCUUAGUAGUCCUGUACAGUUUAAGAGGUACUCGUCCUGUACAGUUUAAGAGAUACUCGUCCUGAGUAGGGUUUAUCUUUAUGAAGAUGCUUCGGUAAAGUAAAGGAAACUUUGCUGUCACAAUUUGUAGCAACUAUGGAGGCUGUUCAUUUGAUUGAAAAUCAUGUAAAGUUAUGCGAUCGUCGGCUGCAUCCUGAUACCAUUGAGGUUGCGAAGUGUGAUGGGUUUGCAUAUUUGGAGAAGAGGUGUCCCUCGAUAUUAAUUUGUUGAAGACUAGUGCAGUGGUAAAGGAAAAAUGAAACCUAAUACUUUGCUGGAAAGGAAUCUCAAAAACAACAACACCAACACCUGCCGCAGCAGCAACACCGGCCUCAGGGGGAUAAUUUCUGCGUGUUCCGACUCUGUGAUUAAUGAGUCGUGGCCUGUGAGAGUGACCACGUCAAGCAGGUCAGCUUUUGGUAAAUAGUAAAUUUUUCUGGUAAAUAUAACAAGGGUUAAAAGUGGAUGUAUUUGAUUUUUAACGUGUAAAUUUCUUUGGUAAAUAGUAACUUUCUCUUGUUCCGACUUUCAUACUUGUUAGGAACAUUACAAUGUGCAGGA